This 484-nucleotide ribosomal RNA is filed under the name uncultured bacterium. Its description in RNAcentral is "partial 16S ribosomal RNA". It matches the Rfam family "Bacterial small subunit ribosomal RNA", at positions 30 to 507 of the family's 1533-position model. The record is from RNAcentral.
UGAACGCUGGCGGCAUGCCUUACACAUGCAAGUCGAACGGCAGCACGGGUGCUUGCACCUGGUGGCGAGUGGCGAACGGGUGAGUAAUACAUCGGAACAUGUCCUGUAGUGGGGGAUAGCCCGGCGAAAGCCGGAUUAGUACCGCAUACGAUCUACGGAUGAAAGCGGGGGACCUUCGGGCCUCGCGCUAUAGGGUUGGCCGAUGGCUGAUUAGCUAGUUGGUGGGGUAAAGGCCUACCAAGGCGACGAUCAGUAGCUGGUCUGAGAGGACGACCAGCCACACUGGGACUGAGACACGGCCCAGACUCCUACGGGAGGCAGCAGUGGGGAAUUUUGGACAAUGGGCGAAAGCCUGAUCCAGCAAUGCCGCGUGUGUGAAGAAGGCCUUCGGGUUGUAAAGCACUUUUGUCCGGAAAGAAAUCCUUGGCCCUAAUACGGUCGGGGGAUGACGGUACCGGAAGAAUAAGCACCGGCUAACUACGUG